UCUAGAGAUUUGGCGGACGGGUGAGUAAUGCAUCGGAACGUGCCCAUGUCGUGGGGGAUAACGUAGCGAAAGCUACGCUAAUACCGCAUACGCCCUGAGGGGGAAAGCGGGGGAUUCUUCGGAACCUCGCGCGAUUGGAGCGGCCGAUGUCGGAUUAGCUAGUAGGUGAGGUAAAGGCUCACCUAGGCGACGAUCCGUAGCGGGUCUGAGAGGAUGAUCCGCCACACUGGGACUGAGACACGGCCCAGACUCCUACGGGAGGCAGCAGUGGGGAAUUUUGGACAAUGGGCGCAAGCCUGAUCCAGCCAUGCCGCGUGAGUGAAGAAGGCCUUCGGGUUGUAAAGCUCUUUCGGCCGGGAAGAAAUCGUGGUCUCUAACAUAGGCCAUGGAUGACGGUACCGGACUAAGAAGCACCGGCUAACUACGUGCCAGCAGCCGCGGUAUAAUCGUCGAC
Molecule: ribosomal RNA, 454 nt
Filed under: uncultured Thauera sp.
Lineage: Bacteria; Pseudomonadati; Pseudomonadota; Betaproteobacteria; Rhodocyclales; Zoogloeaceae
Description: bacterial SSU rRNA
Rfam family: Bacterial small subunit ribosomal RNA
Source: RNAcentral